This 199-nucleotide long non-coding RNA is filed under the name Volvox carteri. Its description in RNAcentral is "long non-coding RNA (VCAR_LNC002710)". The record is from RNAcentral. Lineage: Eukaryota; Viridiplantae; Chlorophyta; Chlorophyceae; Chlamydomonadales; Volvocaceae.
CUUUUGGCAAAGGCGUCAGUUGAUUGCGUGCCUUGGCACGCCGCGCACUUCGCUGUUACGGAGGACCCCGCGCGCGCGCACAGCCUGCGAAAUCAUCACGGUACGUACAUCUAAUGCAUAAGUUGUUUAAUGUGAUGUGGUGAUAAGUAUUUAGUUCAGGGAGCGUCAGCGAUAAGUCAUCAGCAGGUUGUGGACCUCC